AGCCAGCUGUGUAGUGGUUUGAGUGUUGGACUACAACUCUGGAGACCAGGGUUCAAAUCCCUAGUUGGCCA
Molecule: non-coding RNA, 71 nt
Organism: Phrynosoma platyrhinos (Desert horned lizard)
Lineage: Eukaryota; Metazoa; Chordata; Lepidosauria; Squamata; Phrynosomatidae
Source: the annotation of a GenBank genome assembly